RNAcentral lists this ribosomal RNA (253 nucleotides) under uncultured bacterium. Its description in RNAcentral is "partial 16S ribosomal RNA". It matches the Rfam family "Bacterial small subunit ribosomal RNA", at positions 524 to 776 of the family's 1533-position model. The record is from RNAcentral.
UACGUAGGGUGCGAGCGUUGUCCGGAAUUAUUGGGCGUAAAGAGCUUGUAGGCGGUCUGUCGCGUCUGCUGUGAAAAUCCGGGGCUCAACCCCGGACUUGCAGUGGGUACGGGCAGACUAGAGUGUGGUAGGGGAGACUGGAAUUCCUGGUGUAGCGGUGAAAUGCGCAGAUAUCAGGAGGAACACCGGUGGCGAAGGCGGAUCUCUGGGCCGUAACUGACGCUGAGGAGCGAAAGCAUGGGGAGUGAACAGG